CUACCAAGGCAACGAUGGGUAGCCGAUCUAGAGGAUGAUCGGCCACACUGGAACUGAAACACGGUCCAGACUCCUACGGGAGGCAGCAGUGGGGAAUAUUGCGCAAUGGGCGAAAGCCUGACGCAGCGACGCCGCGUGAGGGAUGAAGGUCUUCGGAUCGUAAACCUCUGUCAGAAGGGAAGAAACUAGGGUGCUCUAAUCAUCAUCCUACUGACGGUACCUUCAAAGGAAGCACCGGCUAACUCCGUGCCAGCAGCCGCGGUAAUACGGAGGGUGCAAGCGUUAAUCGGAAUCACUGGGCGUAAAGCGCACGUAGGCUGUUAUGUAAGUCAGGGGUGAAAUCCCACGGCUCAACCGUGGAACUGCCCUUGAUACUGCACGACUUGAAUCCGGGAGAGGGUGGCGGAAUUCCAGGUGUAGGAGUGAAAUCCGUAGAUAUCUGGAGGAACAUCAGUGGCGAAGGCGGCCACCUGGACCGGUAUUGACGCUGAGGUGCGAAAGCGUGGGGAGCAAAUAGGAUUAGAUACCCUGGUAGUCCACGCCGUAAACGAUGGACGCU
Molecule: ribosomal RNA, 559 nt
Filed under: uncultured Desulfovibrio sp.
Lineage: Bacteria; Pseudomonadati; Thermodesulfobacteriota; Desulfovibrionia; Desulfovibrionales; Desulfovibrionaceae
Description: bacterial SSU rRNA
Rfam family: Bacterial small subunit ribosomal RNA
Source: RNAcentral